AGAGCGAACGCUGGCGGCAUGCUUAACACAUGCAAGUCUCACGGGCAGCAAUGUCAGUGGCGGACGGGUGAGUAACGCGUAGGUAUCUAUCCAUGGGUGGGGGAUAACGUCGGGAAACUGACGCUAAUACCGCAUGACAUCUGAGGAUCAAAGGCGCGAGUCGCCUGUGGAGGAGCCUGCGUACGAUUAGCUAGUUGGUGGGGUAAAGGCCUACCAAGGCGACGAUCGUUAGCUGGUCUGAGAGGAUGAUCAGCCACACUGGGACUGAGACACGGCCCAGACUCCUACGGGAGGCAGCAGUGGGGAAUAUUGGACAAUGGGCGAAAGCCUGAUCCAGCAAUGCCGCGUGUGUGAAGAAGGUCUUCGGAUUGUAAAGCACUUUCGGCGGGACGAUGAUGACGGUACCGCAGAAGAAGCCCCGGCUAACUUCGUGCCAGCAGCCGCGGUAA
RNAcentral lists this ribosomal RNA (449 nucleotides) under uncultured bacterium. RNAcentral's name for it is "SSU rRNA". It matches the Rfam family "Bacterial small subunit ribosomal RNA", at positions 26 to 523 of the family's 1533-position model. The record is from RNAcentral.